AGCGAACGCUGGCGGCAGGCCUAACACAUGCAAGUCGAACGGAUCCUUCGGGAUUAGUGGCGGACGGGUGAGUAACACGUGGGAACGUGCCCUUUGGUUCGGAACAACUCAGGGAAACUUGAGCUAAUACCGGAUGUGCCCUUCGGGGGAAAGAUUUAUCGCCAUUGGAGCGGCCCGCGUCUGAUUAGCUAGUUGGUGAGGUAAAGGCUCACCAAGGCUACGAUCAGUAGCUGGUCUGAGAGGAUGAUCAGCCACAUUGGGACUGAGACACGGCCCAAACUCCUACGGGAGGCAGCAGUGGGGAAUCUUGCGCAAUGGGCGAAAGCCUGACGCAGCCAUGCCGCGUGAAUGAUGAAGGUCUUAGGAUUGUAAAAUUCUUUCACCGGGGACGAUAAUGACGGUACCCGGAGAAGAAGCCCCGGCUAACUUCGUGCCAGCAGCCGCCGUAA
RNAcentral lists this ribosomal RNA (449 nucleotides) under uncultured bacterium. RNAcentral's name for it is "partial 16S ribosomal RNA". It matches the Rfam family "Bacterial small subunit ribosomal RNA", at positions 29 to 523 of the family's 1533-position model. The record is from RNAcentral.